This is a long non-coding RNA of Corythoichthys intestinalis (scribbled pipefish), 389 nucleotides long. RefSeq lists it as uncharacterized. The record is from RefSeq and is a predicted model, not a curated record. Lineage: Eukaryota; Metazoa; Chordata; Actinopteri; Syngnathiformes; Syngnathidae. The transcript has 3 exons.
CCGACGACGACUUUAACGAGAUAGUAAAUAGUUUUAGUCCCGUGUCCGUAAACAGUCCUCAUUUCGUUCUGGAAGCUUCCAUUAUUUGCGAACGUGCUUGAAGAUGCGAUUCACUGAAGAGGCACAUAGGGAUGGCCGCGUCACAAUAUGCAUUUGCUGCUGUUGUGCGGAAGUGGCUACAUUAUGUCCCAGACCGCGUUGUUUUGUAAGGAUUUCAACGUUGGAACAACAUUAAUUGAGGGUGUAAAAGUGAUGACAGAUCAACGUCGGGUGUCAACAACGUUGAUUCAACGAUAUAAGAUUGACAGCGGAAUGUUGAGUCAACAUCAUUUCAACGUCUGUCUGCUAUCUGGGUACCAACAGGAAGGAUUAUCUCAGGAGUGAUUUGU